RNAcentral lists this transfer RNA (78 nucleotides) under Klebsiella michiganensis. Its description in RNAcentral is "tRNA-Val(gac)". It matches the Rfam family "tRNA". From Rfam's summary of the family: Transfer RNA (tRNA) molecules are approximately 80 nucleotides in length. Lineage: Bacteria; Pseudomonadati; Pseudomonadota; Gammaproteobacteria; Enterobacterales; Enterobacteriaceae. The record is from RNAcentral.
GCGUCCGUAGCUCAGUUGGUUAGAGCACCACCUUGACAUGGUGGGGGUCGGUGGUUCGGAGUCCACUCGGACGCACCA